UGGGGAAUAUUGCACAAUGGGCGAAAGCCUGAUGCAGCAACGCCGCGUGAGUGAUGAAGGCCUUCGGGUUGUAAAGCUCUGUCUUCUGGGACGAUAAUGACGGUACCAGAGGAGGAAGCCACGGCUAACUACGUGCCAGCAGCCGCGGUAAUACGUAGGUGGCAAGCGUUGUCCGGAUUUACUGGGCGUAAAGGAUGCGUAGGCGGAUACUUAAGUCAGAUGUGAAAAUCCCGGGCUUAACUUGGGAACUGCAUUUGAAACUGGGUAUCUAGAGUGCGGGAGGGGACAGUGGAAUUCCUAGUGUAGCGGUGAAAUGCGUAGAGAUUAGGAAGAACACCAGUGGCGAAGGCGACUUUCUGGACCGUAACUGACGCUGAGGCAUGAAAGCGUGGGGAGCAAACA
Molecule: ribosomal RNA, 402 nt
Filed under: uncultured bacterium
Lineage: Bacteria
Description: bacterial SSU rRNA
Rfam family: Bacterial small subunit ribosomal RNA
Source: RNAcentral